UACAGAGGGUGCGAGCGUUGUCCGGAUUUAUUGGGCGUAAAGAGCGUGUAGGCGGCCAGACAGGUCUGCUGUGAAAACUCGAGGCUCAACCUCGAGACGCCGGUGGAAACCGUUUGGCUAGAGUCCGGAAGAGGAGAGUGGAAUUCCUGGUGUAGCGGUGAAAUGCGCAGAUAUCAGGAAGAACACCCGUGGCUAAGGCGGCUCUCUAGUACGGUACUGACGCUGAGACGCGAAAGCAUGGGGGAGCGAACAGG
Molecule: ribosomal RNA, 254 nt
Filed under: uncultured bacterium
Lineage: Bacteria
Description: partial 16S ribosomal RNA
Rfam family: Bacterial small subunit ribosomal RNA
Source: RNAcentral